AUGAACGCUGGCGGCGUGCCUAAUACAUGCAAGUCGAGCGAACAGACGAGGAGCUUGCUCCUUUGAUGUUAGCGGCGGACGGGUGAGUAACACGUAGGUAACCUACCUAUAAGACUGGGAUAACUUCGGGAAACCGGAGCUAAUACCGGAUAAUAUUUCGAACCGCAUGGUUCGAUAGUGAAAGAUGGCUUUGCUAUCACUUAUAGAUGGACCUGCGCCGUAUUAGCUAGUUGGUAAGGUAACGGCUUACCAAGGCAACGAUACGUAGCCGACCUGAGAGGGUGAUCGGCCACACUGGAACUGAGACACGGUCCAGACUCCUACGGGAGGCAGCAGUAGGGAAUCUUCCGCAAUGGGCGAAAACCUGACGGAGCAACGCCGCGUGAGUGAUGAAGGUCUUCGGAUCGUAAAACUCUGUUAUUAGGGAAAAACAAACGUGUAAGUAACUGUGCACGUCUUGACGGUACCUAAUCAGAAAGCCACGGCUAACUACGUG
RNAcentral lists this ribosomal RNA (496 nucleotides) under uncultured bacterium. RNAcentral's name for it is "partial 16S ribosomal RNA". It matches the Rfam family "Bacterial small subunit ribosomal RNA", at positions 29 to 507 of the family's 1533-position model. The record is from RNAcentral.